GCUCGGAGGUUAACUCCCAACCCCUGUGAACAUACCAAUUGUUGCCUCGGCGGAUCAGCCCGCUCCCGGUAAAACGGGACGGCCCGCCAGAGGACCCCUAAACUCUGUUUCUAUAUGUAACUUCUGAGUAAAACCAUAAAUAAAUCAAAACUUUCAACAACGGAUCUCUUGGUUCUGGCAUCGAUGAAGAACGCAGCAAAAUGCGAUAAGUAAUGUGAAUUGCAGAAUUCAGUGAAUCAUCGAAUCUUUGAACGCACAUUGCGCCCGCCAGUAUUCUGGCGGGCAUGCCUGUUCGAGCGUCAUUUCAACCCUCAAGCCCAGCUUGGUGUUGGGACUCGCGAGUCAAAUCGCGUUCCCCAAAUUGAUUGGCGGUCACGUCGAGCUUCCAUAGCGUAGUAGUAAAACCCUCGUUACUGGUAAUCGUCGCGGCCACGCCGUUAAACCCCAACUUCUGAAUGUUGACCUCGGAUCAGGUAGGAAUACCCGCUGAACUUAAGCAUAUCAAUAAGCGGAGGAA
Molecule: ribosomal RNA, 517 nt
Filed under: Fusarium verticillioides
Lineage: Eukaryota; Fungi; Ascomycota; Sordariomycetes; Hypocreales; Nectriaceae
Description: eukaryotic LSU rRNA
Rfam family: 5.8S ribosomal RNA (bases 149-302)
Source: RNAcentral